ACUGCUUGUAUAUCUCAGUAGCUUUAACCAGAAAUUUCUAGAUUAUACUACUUACUUCUGUGCACAGUCAAUAACUCUCUUCUUGUUCCUCUCUGUAAAUUUACCCAUCGAAUAGUGAAAAUCCUCUCAAGAGGUAUCCAGUGUUCAUGUCAGCAGCCAGUACAUCCCAUGUUCAUCUGCUUAGAGUGAGAAUGUCUCCACAUUAAUCGACAUUACUUUCCAACGUGGGGGUAAAUGGUCUUUCCACUGUGUGACUGAUGAUCCGCUCUGACCAGGAGCCAAGCAAUGUUCUUCUCGAUAAUGAAGUGUCUGCUUAUGUAAGUGAUUCUGGUUUGGCAAGGCUCAUGUCAAGGUUCUGUAAAGAUCAUGCACAUCAAUUUAGCUUGCUCAGUAUCAAGGGCACCACAGGAUAUGCAGCUCCAGGCAUGGAAGCCAAGCUAUCUAGUCUCAGAGAUGCGCCCAGCUAAAGAAUACUCUUGCUCUGGAGAAGGCCGGUCAUUCCAAGAUGAAUUGAAGCUGUACCAGUAUGUUAAGAUGGCAUUGUCUGAUUGUGUCCUAGAGUUGUGGACCAAAUGAUCCUGUAAGAGGUCUUGGAAGAAGGGGAAUACGUUUGCAAUUCCUAUGUUGGCAACUCAGAAAGCAAAAAUCGUAUCUUUGCUUGGAGUGGCGUGCUUGGAAGAAUCAUCAAGAAAUAACGAACAAGAGAGUCGUUGUAGUGAAUUUGCUUUCAAUCUGAGAUAAAUAUAUCUUGGAACUGAAGUGCAUGGAAGCUCCUGACAUGGAUAAUGCAAAUUUGAGCGUUCCUCAUUCGCAACUGCAACUCUUCACAUUCCAAAUUCCACCUUGUGAUGAAGUCCUGGAAUUCCAGUUUUUUUUUUCUUUAAAUUUGUCUCCUUUUGGGAAGAAAGUCUUUGCUGAGUGUGCUUGUCAGGUGGUCAUCUUAUUACAAGUGAACCUUAUGUUGAGUAGUAUUAGCAUCAUGUGCAGUAUUAUCUGUGAUUCUGGAAUAAAAAGAACCGUUUGACCGCA
Eucalyptus grandis is the source of this 1029-nucleotide long non-coding RNA. RefSeq lists it as uncharacterized. NCBI's taxonomy places the organism in Eukaryota, Viridiplantae, Streptophyta, Magnoliopsida, Myrtales, Myrtaceae. The record is from RefSeq and is a predicted model, not a curated record. The transcript is spliced from 2 exons.